GAUGAACGCUGGCGGCGUGCCUAAUACAUGCAAGUCGAGCGAACAGACGAGGAGCUUGCUCCUUCGACGUUAGCGGCGGACGGGUGAGUAACACGUAGGUAACCAACCUAUAAGACUGGGAUAACUUCGGGAAACCGGAGCUAAUACCGGAUAAUAUUUCGAACCGCAUGGUUCGAUAGUGAAAGAUGGCUUUGCUAUCACUUAUAGAUGUACCUGCGCCGUAUUAGCUAGUUGGUAAGGUAACGGCUUACCAAGGCAACGAUACGUAGCCGACCUGAGAGGGUGAUCGGCCACACUGGAACUGAGACACGGUCCAGACUCCUACGGGAGGCAGCAGUAGGGAAUCUUCCGCAAUGGGCGAAAGCCUGACGGAGCAACGCCGCGUGAGUGAUGAAGGUCUUCGGAUCGUAAAACUCUGUUAUUAGGGAAGAACAAACGUGUAAGUAACUGUGCACGUCUUGACGGUACCUAAUCAGAAAGCCACGGCUAACUACGUG
Molecule: ribosomal RNA, 497 nt
Filed under: uncultured bacterium
Lineage: Bacteria
Description: partial 16S ribosomal RNA
Rfam family: Bacterial small subunit ribosomal RNA
Source: RNAcentral